AGGGAUGUAGCUCAGUGGCAGAGCGCUUGCCUGGCAUGUGCAAGGCCCUGGGUUCCAUCUCUA
This 63-nucleotide transfer RNA is filed under the name Ictidomys tridecemlineatus (thirteen-lined ground squirrel). Its description in RNAcentral is "Spermophilus tridecemlineatus (thirteen-lined ground squirrel) tRNA". It matches the Rfam family "tRNA". Rfam says of the family: Transfer RNA (tRNA) molecules are approximately 80 nucleotides in length. Their secondary structure includes four short double-helical elements and three loops (D, anti-codon, and T loops). The record is from Rfam by way of RNAcentral. Lineage: Eukaryota; Metazoa; Chordata; Mammalia; Rodentia; Sciuridae.